CAGUUCUUUAAAGAUACAAACUGGUUAGCAAUUCCCUUGACAAGGAUAGAAGAAGUCCUAGUGGCCUGUACAAUAUAGUUAUGUUAAGGCAUUUGCCACUUACUUUGUGGUACCUAACCAAGAU
Sceloporus undulatus (fence lizard) is the source of this 124-nucleotide small nuclear RNA. The record is from RefSeq and is a predicted model, not a curated record. NCBI's taxonomy places the organism in Eukaryota, Metazoa, Chordata, Lepidosauria, Squamata, Phrynosomatidae.